AGGAUUUUGCUUGGCAUCAAGGAACAGUGCAAACUAGAAGAAACCCCCGUCAUCAGCGACCUCUCCCCAACGGCGCCGACGAUGGCGCAACAGCAGACGCAGCUAACCACUGGCUCGGGCAUCCUGGAUGCCGUCCCGCUCUUCGUCGUCAUCCUCCUCGCGGCCCACGUCCUGGCCCUCGUGUUCUGGAUGUACAAGCUGGCUUCCGAGAAGCAACCACCCCGGAGGAAGACACAGUGACGGCGCCGAUCUACGCCAUCGGCGAUCCUUCGCUAGCCUCUUUAUCGGUUCCAUUUUCAUGUGAACCAGUACCCUCCAGAACAUUCAGGCCGUCAAUUAUUCAGA
This 345-nucleotide unclassified non-coding RNA is filed under the name Zea mays. RNAcentral's name for it is "misc RNA Zm00001eb180640". Lineage: Eukaryota; Viridiplantae; Streptophyta; Magnoliopsida; Poales; Poaceae. The record is from RNAcentral.